Molecule: ribosomal RNA, 491 nt
Filed under: uncultured bacterium
Lineage: Bacteria
Description: partial 16S ribosomal RNA
Rfam family: Bacterial small subunit ribosomal RNA
Source: RNAcentral
GUGCACGCUGGCGGUAGGCCUAACACAUGCAAGUCGAACGGCAGCACAGUAAGAGCUUGCUCUUACGGGUGGCGAGUGGCGGACGGGUGAGGAAUACAUCGGAAUCUACUUUUUCGUGGGGGAUAACGUAGGGAAACUUACGCUAAUACCGCAUACGACCUACGGGUGAAAGCAGGGGAUCUUCGGACCUUGCGCGACUGAAUGAGCCGAUGUCGGAUUAGCUAGUUGGCGGGGUAAAGGCCCACCAAGGCGACGAUCCGUAGCUGGUCUGAGAGGAUGAUCAGCCACACUGGAACUGAGACACGGUCCAGACUCCUACGGGAGGCAGCAGUGGGGAAUAUUGGACAAUGGGCGCAAGCCUGAUCCAGCCAUACCGCGUGGGUGAAGAAGGCCUUCGGGUUGUAAAGCCCUUUUGUUGGGAAAGAAAAGCAGCAGGUUAAUACCCCGCUGUUCUGACGGUACCCAAAGAAUAAGCACCGGCUAACUUCGUG